Molecule: ribosomal RNA, 254 nt
Filed under: uncultured bacterium
Lineage: Bacteria
Description: partial 16S ribosomal RNA
Rfam family: Bacterial small subunit ribosomal RNA
Source: RNAcentral
UACGGAGGGUGCGAGCGUUGUCCGGAAUCAUUGGGCGUAAAGGGCGCGUAGGUGGCCCGGUCAGUCUUUGGUGAAAGCGCGGGGCUCAACCCUGCGUCGGCCAGGGAUACUGCCGCGGCUCGAGCACUGUAGAGGCAGGCGGAAUUCCGGGUGUAGCGGUGGAAUGCGUAGAGAUCCGGAAGAACACCGGAGGCGAAGGCGGCUUGCUGGGCAUUGUCUGACGCUGAGGCGCGAAAGCGUGGGGAGCGAACAGG